This 252-nucleotide ribosomal RNA is filed under the name uncultured bacterium. RNAcentral describes it as "partial 16S ribosomal RNA". It matches the Rfam family "Bacterial small subunit ribosomal RNA", at positions 524 to 776 of the family's 1533-position model. The record is from RNAcentral.
UACGUAGGUGGCAAGCGUUGUCCGGAUUUACUGGGCGUAAGGGGGCGCAGGCGGGCGUUCCAGGUGCGUGGGAAAGCCCCCGGCUCAACUGGGGAGGGUCACGCGAUACUGAUCGACUCGAAGGCAGGAGAGGGUAGUGGAAUUCCCGGUGUAGUGGUGAAAUGCGUAGAUAUCGGGAGGAACACCAGUGGCGAAGGCGACUACCUGGCCUGUUCUUGACGCUGAGGCGCGAAAGCUAGGGGAGCAAACGGG